CGCGCGGAGCUUUCCGCGCGGUAAGGGUGAAACGGCGAGGUAAGAGCUCACCAGCAGGCUGGGCGACCAGCCUGGCUAGGCAAACCCCACCCGGAGCAAGGUCAAACAGGGAGCAGCGGAACCGGCCGGCGACAAGUUCGUCCGGUUCGGCCCGCGGGCUGGUUCCGGCCCGUUAUCGACUCCCGGGUAGACCGCUAGAGGGGCCGAGCAAUCGGCUUCCUAGAGAAAUGGCCAUCGCCCCGCGCGGCUCUUGCCGCACGGGGAGACAGAACCCGGCUUACAGGUCCGCUCUAAGC
RNAcentral lists this RNase P RNA (296 nucleotides) under Planctomycetia bacterium 21-64-5. Its description in RNAcentral is "partial RNase P RNA component class A". It matches the Rfam family "Bacterial RNase P class A", at positions 130 to 367 of the family's 367-position model. Rfam says of the family: Ribonuclease P (RNase P) is a ubiquitous endoribonuclease, found in archaea, bacteria and eukarya as well as chloroplasts and mitochondria. Its best characterised activity is the generation of mature 5'-ends of tRNAs by cleaving the 5'-leader elements of precursor-tRNAs. Cellular RNase Ps are ribonucleoproteins. The record is from RNAcentral. Lineage: Bacteria; Pseudomonadati; Planctomycetota; Planctomycetia.